AUGGCGCCGCCGGUGGUGGAGGUGGCGCCUGUCGUGGAGGGGAAGAAGGUUGGCCGGGUGAAGUGGGUAAAGCAUUAUUCCUCUUCGCAGAGCAUCCUGAUCGUCGGCGACGGUGACCUCUCCUUUUCGCGGGCGCUCGCCACGGCCUUCGGCUCCGGAGAUUGCAUCGUCGCCACAUCCCUGGACUCCUACAGUGAUCUAAUUGGCAUGUAUAGCCAAGCGGAAUCAAAUGUCAAGGAGCUGAAGAGGAUGGGCGCCACGGUCUUGCAUGGCGUCGAUGUGAAAAACACGAAGAAACACGUUGAUCUCAAGUUUACUCGGUUCGAACGGAUUAUCUUCAAUUUGCCCCAUGCUGGCGCGCAUCAGGUGCUGGUGAGGAGGUUCUUCCGCAAUGCAAGCCAUCUUCUUCAUCCUGACGGUGAGAUCCAUGUUAGCCACAAGACAGGGGAGCGUUACAACAGAUGGGAGAUUGAAGAGCUGGCCUCUGAGUUUUCACUUGUUAUGUUCAAGUCGCUCGUCUUCCGGAAGGAAGAUUACCCCGGAUAUAACCAGAAGAGAGGAGAUGGCGAAAGGUGUGACCAAGAAUUCCCUCUGCGUAAUGGCUGCACUUUCAUGUUCUCGCUCACUCCCUCUGUUUUUUCGUUGGUUCUGUGA
This 654-nucleotide ribosomal RNA is filed under the name Triticum aestivum (bread wheat). Its description in RNAcentral is "partial small subunit ribosomal RNA". Lineage: Eukaryota; Viridiplantae; Streptophyta; Magnoliopsida; Poales; Poaceae. The record is from RNAcentral.